RNAcentral lists this ribosomal RNA (446 nucleotides) under uncultured bacterium. Its description in RNAcentral is "bacterial SSU rRNA". It matches the Rfam family "Bacterial small subunit ribosomal RNA", at positions 28 to 456 of the family's 1533-position model. The record is from RNAcentral.
GAUGAACGCUGGCGGCGUGCUUAACACAUGCAAGUCGAGCGAAGCACUUAAGUCUGAUUCUUCGGAUGAAGACUUUUGUGACUGAGCGGCGGACGGGUGAGUAACGCGUGGGUAACCUGCCUCAUACAGGGGGAUAACAGUUAGAAAUGACUGCUAAUACCGCAUAAGACCACGGUACCGCAUGGUACAGUGGUAAAAACUCCGGUGGUAUGAGAUGGACCCGCGUCUGAUUAGGUAGUUGGUGGGGUAACGGCCUACCAAGCCGACGAUCAGUAGCCGACCUGAGAGGGUGACCGGCCACAUUGGGACUGAGACACGGCCCAGACUCCUACGGGAGGCAGCAGUGGGGAAUAUUGCACAAUGGAGGAAACUCUGAUGCAGCGACGCCGCGUGAAGGAUGAAGUAUUUCGGUAUGUAAACUUCUAUCAGCAGGGAAGAAAAUGACG